ACAUCCAGAGAAUUUAGCAGAGAUGCUUUAGUGCCUUCGGGAACUCUGAGACAGGUGCUGCAUGGCUGUCGUCAGCUCGUGUUGUGAAAUGUUGGGUUAAGUCCCGNAACGAGCGCAACCCUUAUCCUUUGUUGCCAGCACGUAAUGGUGGGAACUCAAAGGAGACUGCCGGUGAUAAACCGGAGGAAGGUGGGGAUGACGUCAAGUCAUCAUGGCCCUUACGAGUAGGGCUACACACGUGCUACAAUGGCGCAUACAAAGAGAAGCGACCUUGCGAGAGCAGGCGGACCUCAUAAAGUGCGUCGUAGUCCGGAUUGGAGUCUGCAACUCGACUCCAUGAAGUCGGAAUCGCUAGUAAUCGUAAAUCAGAAUGUUACGGUGAAUACGUUCCCGGGCCUUGUACACACCGCCCGUCACACCAUGGGAGUGGGUUGCAAAAGAAGUAGAUAGCUUAACCUUCGGGAGGGCGUUUACCACUUUGUGAUUCAUGACUGGGGUGAAGUCGUAACAAGGUAAGCGUAGUGCU
This 526-nucleotide ribosomal RNA is filed under the name uncultured bacterium. Its description in RNAcentral is "bacterial SSU rRNA". It matches the Rfam family "Bacterial small subunit ribosomal RNA", at positions 984 to 1509 of the family's 1533-position model. The record is from RNAcentral.